AGGAGGAGAAGCAGGCGGGGAAGGCAGUCACGAGUUCGUCUGCUCAUUCGUGAGUUUGUGGCACUUGAGUGACAUGUGCCAGUCCAGUGUUUGUCGCCAAGUGUGGCCUUGGAUCCCCUGCCGCAUCAUCCAAUAAACAGGUUCCCGGACUCGCCCCGACCCAAACUCAGACCUACAGAACGCAGUACCCAAGUUCGGUCCGGGGACGAGUGGGAGCAAAGCGGCGCCAUCAAAGCAGGUUGACAGGAGAACUCGAAGAUGAAGAUCGAGGGUGUGCCCCGAGGAGCAAAAAAAUACUCCCCCGACUCCCCCCCCCGCCCCGGGAAGAAUCGGCCAUCAGUGGCCCACGCCGACGGGGUCCGGAGUCGCGGCCGGGGAGCGUGGCCGUGGCGGUGGCCGGGGACCGUGGCAGGCGCGGGCCGGGGAACGGACAGGGAAAGGGACCGAGGGCCUCUCCCCCUCGGCGACACGGGCGCCAGGCUUGCCUGGAGCUGCUGCUGGGAACUUAGGGAGCCGACGGGCCGGGGAAACCGCGUCCCCGGGUCGGCCGGGGGUGCGCAGCGUGGUCGUGGGCCGCUUCUGAGCGGUGGGGAGCGGGGGGCGCAGAGAGGACCUUCCCUGCGCGGCCGGGGUUGGCUCCCGCCGGCACCAGCCUGAGCCUGAGCGCGAGCGCCGUCCGCGGCCGGCAGGGGGCGCUGUCGCGACUGCGAGCCGGGUCCUGGGUGGCCGCCGCCUCCCGCCCCAGGCUCGGUCCCGGGGACCCCCACCUGCCCCACAAGUCACCAAUCAACCUCACUCCAGCCAGGGACGGAAGAGUCCCCGGGCCACCGCAGGAGCAGUGAGGCCUCCAGGGAAGCCACCUCUGAUCCGCACCGGCGGAUUUAUGGAGCCAGAGAAAGGUGAGUGGUCGAACUUUGCCUUCACCUUGAUCAGCAGAGCAGCAGGAAUUCGAUUUCUGGGGCAAGGCUGAAACCGCUAGGCAAGCACUUUCCGAGCGUUUCAGAAGGAUCUGUUUACUAACAAAUACGUGAUGUUAUAGCUUUGUUUUAAAGCGGUUCCUGCACAGCGUUUUGAACUCAGUCGAAUUGCUAAUUUUUUUUUUUUUUUUAAGGCAGUGUGUCCUAGUGAUGGGCACGCACCUGUUUGAAUCCCAAGACGGCCUGGGAGCUGGAGCCUCUCUCUGAGCGAGCUCCCUUACCCGUAGGUACAGACAACAGGUGUCACGGGGCACUGUGCGGGUUAAUACAUUCAAUGCCACUGCCCGCCCUAGCAUAUAGGGAGCUCUAACACAUCCUUCCAUUUCCUUCAGGAAUGUUUUGUUAUUCAAAACUGGCCUUCCUGUGUUAGCGCCUUCCAAAAUUGGGAAUGCCUCUUUUCUGUGGAUUCAAUUGCGUUGUGUUAGCUAUUUCUAUUCCAUAAAAUUGUAAUCAUCCUAUGCGUGCAUUUUAUAUCUUUCCUUUUUCUAAUGGAUGAGCCAAUAGUGAUACCUUAAUUACUAAAGUUCAUGGCACUAGAGUUCAUGGCUGUGUUGUACAUCCUGUGGGUUUUGACAAAGGUGUGACAUGCAUCGACCGUCUUUUUUGUUUUGUUUUGGUUUGGUUUUUGAGAGAGAGAAAGAGGGCAAGCACAAGUCUGAGGCAGAGGGAGAGGGUGAAGCAGGCUCCCCACUGAGCAGGGACCCUGAUGUGGUUUUCUAUCCCAGGACCCUGGGAUCAUGACCUGAGCCAACCGCAGGAGCCUAAGUGACUGAGCCACCCAGGCGCCCCCGACCAGUGUAGCAUCCUAUAGAACAGUUCCUUAAAAAUCCUCUGUGCUCUGCCUCUUCAUCCUUCCCUCCCACCCUCAGUAACCACUGAUCAUUGUAUUAUCUCCAUGGUUGUGCCUUUUCCAGAAUGUCGUAUAGUUGGAAUCAUACAGAAUGAUUAGCAGAAGGUACUCAGUAACUAUGGAGACUGAAUGAUUGGCUUCGUUCACUAAAGUAAGUUGCAUUUUUGGUCCCUUCAUGCCUUUUCAUGAAAUAAUAACUCUUUUCUUUUUUUGCCGAACAAUCCAGUGUCUGGAUGGGCCACAAUUUAUAUAUCCGCACACCUGCUGAAGCAUAUCGUGGUUGCUCCCAGGAUUUGGCAAUUAUGAAUAAAACUGCCCUAAACAUCCACAGGCAAGUUUUGUGUGCACGUCCGUUUUCAACUUCUGGAAAAAUGCCAAGGAGCAUAAUCACUGAACCACACGGAUGGAAAAUCUGUGCUUGGCACUGGAAAGGAAGUUCAGCUCCAGAGAGGGGCUUUUCCUGUGGGUCUCCAGAACCUUCCUCCCACUCUACCCUCCUCACAGCACGUUGAUGUGACGUCCCGAUGCUUCACAACACCAAAGGAUCUGUUCAGUGUUAAGACAGACAUGUUUUCCGUAUGGCUAUAUGGAAAAACAUGGCAAAGCGAAAGUGAGCUUCUCUACAGUGGGUAUGGCCCGGGUGAAAAUAAAUCAUUGUGCCUGCUGAGCUGGUGCGAAAUCCUGUUCCCCCUAAAUCAGACUUUCUACCUGAGGGAAAGGGAAAGCCGGAGGUGUGUUUGCUCUGGCUAAUGUGGCAGUAAUUCCUGGUUGCACACGAAGUUGGAAGGGUCCGGUGCCAGACAAGGAGCGCCGUGGGUCAUGGCGCUUCUCCCAGUGUCACCCAAGGGCCAUCUGGGGGCCCGUGACAUGCAGACUCCAGGGCACAGCCUGGCCCGACUAGGAGAGACCCAAGCAGGGGCAUCUCAGAAGUUCCCAGGCUGCUCAGAGGUCCAUUGACUUUGAACAUCAUUAAGUUAAAAGCACAAAGUUUACAAACCUGGAAACCUGGAUUUAGACGCCCUGUCCUCAUUCUUCAGAAUAGCAAAGUCUCUUCUCUGAAGUUCAGUAUUACUGGAAUAUUAAUUAAUUCAGUAGUAACUGUGGGCCUGCAGUGACAUCCCCACAUGACUCCUUUAACCUUAUUUGGGACACAAAAGACUGAGUUCCUCAUCAGUGUAUUUUUAAAUAUAUGUGCAGUAAAAGAAGAAGUAAGCCAGGUUUUCAGCUCAGGCCUCAAAUGGUAGUUGCUGUAGCUGACUGAUUUUGGACAAAUAUUUAAGUACCUUAAUUCUCAUCUGCAAAUGGGUAUAAUGGUCCCAGGACCCGCACAGCCAUGGAAUAUACCGAAGCUAGAGUGUUUGAGACCCACACUAAAACACAGCAGAGUGUCUCUGAAGACAGAGGGGUUCAGAAAGUACACAAUGUCUCCCGCUUCUGCUGCUGUGUUUUAUUUCACAUGAAAUAAUAAUAAUGACUAGCUUUAAGGCUUUAUCAUGUACUAGGUAUUUGCCUAAGCACUCCAUGCAUUAUUUAAUUCUGAAACAAUCCUAUGAAAUAGGUUAUACUCACAAUGCCCAUUUUAUAGAUACAGAAACUGAGGAAGGAACGUGAAGCAGCUUGCUUAUGGCUGCAUAGCUAGUAAGUUGCUAAGUCAGGAUUGGAACAUGGGACCUCAGAGCCUGUAGUUCCCCCGUCUCUUUGGGCCUCCAGCCCUUAAAGACCCAAUAAUAAGCUGGAAGAGGAAAAUUGAAGUCUGUUUUCUGAGAAACAGUGAAAAUUUAAUUCCUCUUUAGCAGUUAUAUGGUAAGAAGGUCCAGAUAAAAUUAUUCUGGUGCCUAAGGCAAAGCAAAAAGUUUCCUCUGGUGAGAUUUAUAUAUAGCACCUGUUCUGAGAUGCUUACAGUUUAAACCUGAAAUGUCCAAUUUGGUAGCCAUUAGCCACAGGCAUUAUUUAAGUUUAAAUUUUAAUUCAUCAGUGGAAUAUGAGAGUCCAGAUAUAGGCCCACACAUGUAUCAAAAACUGAUUUUCUUUUUUUUUUUAAGGAUGUAUAUAUUUAUUUAUUUGACAGAGAGAGCACAAGUGGGCAGAGCAGUAGGCAGAGGGAGAGGAAGAAGCGGGCUCUCUGCUGACCAGGGAGCCGGAUGCAGGACUUGAUCCCUGGACCUGGGAUCAUGACCUGAGCUGAAAGCACCGGCUUAACCCACUGAGCCACCCAGGCGCCCCCAAAACUGAUUUUCCAUAAGGGUACAAGGUGAUUCAGUGGACAAAGGAUAGUCGUUUCAACAAAUGGUUUUGAAACAAUUGGAAAAAAAUGAAUAAUCCCCACCUUGCUCCAGAUACCAAAUAGUACAUUUAAUGGUCCAUUUAACUCAAAUUGGACCAUACAUCUAAAUGUAAAGACAAAAACUAUAAAAUUUAUAGUAGAAAACAUAGGGGGGAAAACCUUUGUGACUUUGGGCUAGGCAAAGAUUUCUUAGGUGCCACACUGAAAACACGAUCCAUAAGAAACAAUAAAUUAAUAAAUUGGGUUUCAUCGAAUUCAAACUCUGCUCUUUGAAAAACACUCAGAAAAUGAAAAGACAAGUCAUCAACUGGGAGAAGAUAUUUGCACAUCAUGUAUUUGAUAAGGUAAGGGACUUGCAUCUAGAAUAUGUAAAGAACCCUCAAAACUCAGUACCAAAAAAAAUAUUACAAAAUGGGCAAAAGAUAUGAACACUUUACUUAAGAAGAUAUACCAAUAUCAAACCCAUGAAAAGAUGUUCACCAUCAUUAGGCAGCAGGAAAACUAAAAUUAAAACGGCAAUGAGGGGCGCCUAUGUAGCUCAGUGGGUUAAAGCCUCUGCCUUCAGCUCAGGUCAUGAUCUCAGGGUCCUGGGAUCGAGCCCCGCAUCGGACUCUCUGCUCAGCAGGGAUCCUGCUUCUCUUCUUCUCUCUGCCUGCCUCUCUGCCUACUUGUGAUAUCUGUCUGUCAAAUAAAUAAAUAAAAUCUUAAAAAAAAAAAAACACACACAGCAAUGAGACAAACCCAUUAGAAUGACUAAAGUGAAACGGCUGACCAUACCAGUUGUUGGCUGGUUUGUAGAGGAACUGGCAGGAGUGGACAAUGGUACAAGCACUUGGGAGAAGUUUGUCUGUUUCUAGCAAGGUAAACAAAACACCUACUCUGAUCCAGCCGUUCUGCUUUUAGGAAUUUACCCCAGAGAAGUGAAAGUGUUGGUCUUUAUGAAGAUCAGUGCAAGAACGCUCAUAGCAGCUUUAUUUGUUCAUAGCCAAAAAAUGGAAACCACCCAAGUAUCCAUCAACAGGUGAAAUUACGUCUCCAAACCAUGGAAUAUUCUUCAGCAAUAAAAUGAAACAAACAGACAACAUGGACGGAUCUCAAAGUAAUUUUGCUGAGUAAAAGAAGCCAAACCAAAAAAAAAAAAAAAAAAAAAGAAAAAGAAAAGAAAA
Molecule: long non-coding RNA, 5277 nt
Organism: Mustela lutreola (European mink)
Lineage: Eukaryota; Metazoa; Chordata; Mammalia; Carnivora; Mustelidae
Exons: 2
Source: RefSeq, a predicted model, not a curated record